GAUUGGCCUAGUCGAGAUCUUACUCAAUUGAAAUACGAUGAUGUAUUAAUUUCUAAAAUAUGGAGGGUUCAAUCCCAUCUUGAUCCAUACACCGACUGCCAUAAGUACUUGAUUGUGUCCAAAAAUCUUCUAUCAUUGAAUUAAAAAUUUAGAUAAUCUGACACCAAAGCACAGUGAGUUUCUUGCAAGUCAUCAUGGUGAUC
Molecule: long non-coding RNA, 203 nt
Filed under: Elaeis guineensis (African oil palm)
Lineage: Eukaryota; Viridiplantae; Streptophyta; Magnoliopsida; Arecales; Arecaceae
Description: long non-coding RNA (EGUI_LNC063020)
Source: RNAcentral